GCGCCCUUGGCCCAAUGGUUAAGGCAUCUGACUUCGAUCUCUCAGCGAUCCGGCAUCAGGGGAUUGCGGGUUCGAGUCCCGUGGGGCGUU
This is a transfer RNA of Sphaerulina musiva SO2202, 90 nucleotides long. It matches the Rfam family "tRNA". From Rfam's summary of the family: Transfer RNA (tRNA) molecules are approximately 80 nucleotides in length. The record is from Rfam. NCBI's taxonomy places the organism in Eukaryota, Fungi, Ascomycota, Dothideomycetes, Mycosphaerellales, Mycosphaerellaceae.